AACUUUGAGUGGUGGAUCACUCGGCUGGAGUAUCGAUGUAAAGUGCAACCAACCAUGUGAAUUCAAAUCAACUGUAUACUGCUUUGAGCACCCAAAUCUUGAGUGCGCAUUGAGACUACGAGAUAUCCUGUGGCCACGUCUGUCCGAUUAUAA
This 153-nucleotide ribosomal RNA is filed under the name Trichobilharzia regenti. RNAcentral describes it as "5.8S ribosomal RNA". It matches the Rfam family "5.8S ribosomal RNA". From Rfam's summary of the family: 5.8S ribosomal RNA (5.8S rRNA) is a component of the large subunit of the eukaryotic ribosome. It is transcribed by RNA polymerase I as part of the 45S precursor that also contains 18S and 28S rRNA. The record is from Rfam by way of RNAcentral. Lineage: Eukaryota; Metazoa; Platyhelminthes; Trematoda; Strigeidida; Schistosomatidae.